UGUAGCUCAGCCUAACUUGAUAGGGCACUGAACCCGCCUCUCCCCUCCUGCGAUUGGACGUUUCGCAGUUGCCAAGGAUUUCAUUGGGAAAUUGUCGCCGGCGCUUUGAGCUCCGUGGUCCAGUUGACAGUCACUCAAAAUGACAUCAUCGCAUGUGUUCGUCAAGUGAUUCAAGACUCAAGAUUGUUUAAUGUCAUUUCCAGUACACAAGUGUAAAUGGGAACAAAAUAAUUGUUCCUCUGGAUCUAAUGCAGCACAAAAGAAACAAUAACAUAAAGAACAUACAAGUAAAAAAGCACAACAUUUUAGGAGAAGCACCCCACUGGUGUUAGCCUUCUCUGUGGCAAUCAUUCCUUGGCAGAGAGUUGCAGCCCUGUUGACUCUGAUGGUGGAGUCACACAGAUGAAUUGGAUUACUCCUCUUUGUGGUUAAUACAUGUGAUUUUUCAAGUAAGAAAGUAAGCUUGAAUGCUACUGCUAUGAAGAUGCUUUCUGAGAAUCAACAGUGACCUUUACUAUUUUAACGUGUAUCCUGUUUGGCAUAUUGUAAAGGAACUGAAAUUUGGGCUGAGGUGGUCUGUUGAAAAUCUACCAUACUGUUGGAUCUUACAGAGAGGGGAUUAUUUAGUCUUACAAAUUCAUUGAAAACAGCUGAUCCUCCAAUCAACAAAUUGAGUGAGUUGAUUAAAUUUGCUGAGAUUUUUCAAGGAAAAGAGGUGAACAAACAGGCUGUGAAACUUACUGGGCAGACUAGAUUUCUCCUCACCACUAAAUACAUUGAAGGCUGUUUUUUUGGACCCUUGCAGAGAUCAACAGAUUCUGUGGAACAGCAGACAGAACAUGAUACUCUGGCAGAAGUGAAUGUGAGGCACUAUCUCAUUGGACAGAGGAGCAGGAGCUGUGUGACUUACUCCAGUGAUUUACUAUUUCCCCCCAAAGGAGCAGUGACUCACUCUGCUUCCAUUUUGCUUGUAUUCCCCACAUGAAAAGAAGAGAUGUUGAUUUAACUUCGUGAAAUAAAAAAAA
Molecule: long non-coding RNA, 1025 nt
Organism: Mobula hypostoma (lesser devil ray)
Lineage: Eukaryota; Metazoa; Chordata; Chondrichthyes; Myliobatiformes; Myliobatidae
Exons: 7
Source: RefSeq, a predicted model, not a curated record